RNAcentral lists this ribosomal RNA (253 nucleotides) under uncultured bacterium. Its description in RNAcentral is "partial 16S ribosomal RNA". It matches the Rfam family "Bacterial small subunit ribosomal RNA", at positions 524 to 776 of the family's 1533-position model. The record is from RNAcentral.
UACGUAGGUGGCAAGCGUUGUCCGGAUUUACUGGGCGUAAAGAGCGCGCAGGCGGUCGAGUAAGUCGAAUGUGAAAGCCCCCGGCUUAACUGGGGAGGGUCAUUCGAUACUGUUCGACUUGAAGGCAGGAGAGGGCAGCAGAAUUCCCGGUGUAGUGGUGAAAUGCGUAGAUAUCGUAAGGAAGACCAGUGGCGAAGGCGGGUCUCUGGACAGUUCCUGACGCUGAGGCACGAAGGCCAGGGGAGCAAACGGG